GAACGAGAUCUUCGGAUCUAGUGGCGCACGGGUGCGUAACGCGUGGGAAUCUGCCUUGGGGUUCGGAAUAACUCCCCGAAAGGGGUGCUAAUACCGGAUGAUGUCGAAAGACCAAAGAUUUAUCGCCCUGAGAUGAGCCCGCGUAGGAUUAGCUAGUUGGUGUGGUAAAGGCGCACCAAGGCGACGAUCCUUAGCUGGUCUGAGAGGAUGAUCAGCCACACUGGGACUGAGACACGGCCCAG
Molecule: ribosomal RNA, 242 nt
Filed under: uncultured bacterium
Lineage: Bacteria
Description: partial 16S ribosomal RNA
Rfam family: Bacterial small subunit ribosomal RNA
Source: RNAcentral